GACCUUUUGAACUUGUGCCGAGAUUUCGUCAGACACCAUACCAUCAGUACUGACGAGACUCCUAAUGCAAAUAAAGCG
Molecule: non-coding RNA, 78 nt
Organism: Schistosoma mansoni
Lineage: Eukaryota; Metazoa; Platyhelminthes; Trematoda; Strigeidida; Schistosomatidae
Source: Rfam